RNAcentral lists this unclassified non-coding RNA (379 nucleotides) under uncultured bacterium. Its description in RNAcentral is "contains 16S-23S intergenic spacer region". The record is from RNAcentral.
UCCGGUUUGUCACCGGCAGUCUCGUAUGAGUCCCCAACUAAAUGCUGGCAACAUACGACGGGGGUUGCGCUCGUUGCGGGACUUAACCCAACGUCUCACGACACGAGCUGACGACAGCCAUGCAGCACCUGUGUCCACGCCCCUUGCGGGGAGGAACCCGUCUCCGGGAACCGUCGUGGCAUGUCAAGGGCUGGUAAGGUUCUGCGCGUUGCUUCGAAUUAAACCACAUGCUCCACCGCUUGUGCAGGCCCCCGUCAAUUUCUUUGAGUUUUAAUCUUGCGACCGUACUUCCCAGGCGGCGUAUUUAUCGCGUUUGCUACGCCACAAAAGGGGUCGAUUCCUUUUACAGCAAAUACGCACCGUUUACAGCUAGGACUAC